This is a non-coding RNA of Schizosaccharomyces pombe (fission yeast), 951 nucleotides long. The record is from the annotation of a GenBank genome assembly. NCBI's taxonomy places the organism in Eukaryota, Fungi, Ascomycota, Schizosaccharomycetes, Schizosaccharomycetales, Schizosaccharomycetaceae.
CUCCUUAGACGGCAUAGCUCUUUUCAUUGCCUAUUGGUAUUCUAGAUGCAGCAAGUUCAUAUAGCUAACGACUUAUUUUUUGCUAAUUCACCCCUAAACUUGUAAUGUGGCUACGAAAUGCAUUUUGCAUCUGGUUUGUUCGAAAUUCCGUAUGACAGCAGGAGCAAUGCGUAGCCAAGUAUUAGUGAUGAAAAAGGCCAGGGUCUCGUACACUGAGCAAAUAAAUUCCUCGUACAAUAGCAGGUUUGCGUAUUCACAUGUUUACAUUCUAAAAGUCGAAUAAUAGACGAACAAAAUAUGUCUGAAGCACUGUUAUAAUCACACAACGAAAGAAAAAGAGAUGUCGGGUAAUUUCUGGUUCACCGGCUGAAUCAAUAAUUCGUUAACUUUCUUUAACAAAUGUGUAUUCGACAUGAAUUUUUCUAAAAAUCAAAAAAAUGAACUAACUACCACUUCCUGCUAAAUUUUUAAUAAAAGGAUGGUGAGUUGUAACGAAAACCACAAUAUACUAUAAACCACUGCUGUAUAUGUUUUGUUGGCACUAAAGCAAACGAUGGUUUCUUUUUGCCUUGGUAGAUCAGGAGUUGUAAUCUAGAAAAUUACGAAUAAAAAUAUUCGUUGAAAAAAAAUUCCUAGGAUGUUAUGACUUUAUUCUUCGAUAGAGUCGCAAAUGUCUAUACUACAAUGAAUGCGACCUGCAGUAGAAAGGGAAUAACGAAUUGGGGAGCAGCUAGCUAUUUAGGAGAAAUGAUUAUGAGAAGUAAGCUUAUAUUGAGUACAAUUUGUUUAUUAAGAGCUUAAAUGAUUAAAAUGACAAUUUCCCAUUCAUACAGUUCUGUAGUCAUGAUACUGUGCACACAUGAACAGUUUUCUUUACUUAGUAGUGGAGUAUUGAUAAAGCAAUGCCAACUGAAUACCCAAUUUCCAUGAAUAAAGUUUUCCUUAAAAACA